This 264-nucleotide long non-coding RNA is filed under the name Anas platyrhynchos platyrhynchos (common mallard). RNAcentral's name for it is "lncRNA (ENSAPLG00000026165.1)". The record is from RNAcentral. Lineage: Eukaryota; Metazoa; Chordata; Aves; Anseriformes; Anatidae.
CAAUAAUGGACGCCAAGCUGCUGCCCACUUCAUGAUCCAUUCAUGAAUUAAAGGAAGGAAGCAGGACAUAACAGGUAUACAAACAACUGCUGAAUCUGAAGUCCUCUUCAAAUUGAGACUCAGUGGUAGAUGGUCAAAGAGAAGAAGCAGCAAAGAAGAUAAUUAUCUCUGGGACGGGAAGACCCAGAAGAUAUCCAAUAUGUUCCUAACAAACUCUGAGGAAGUUUCAUGCUGACUAGGUAAUAACUAUUCACCAUCUUUAAU